UACGUAGGAUGCAAGCGUUGUCCGGAUUUACUGGGUGUAAAGGGUGCGCAGGCGGGACUGUAAGUCAGAGGUGAAAGCCCGGAGCUUAACUCCGGAAAUGCCUUUGAUACUGCGGUUCUUGAAUAUGAUAGAGGCUCAUGGAAUAUGUGGUGUAGCGGUGAAAUGCGUAGAUAUCACAUAGAACACCAGUGGCGAAGGCGGUGAGCUGGGUCAUUAUUGACGCUCAUGCACGAAAGUGUGGGUAGCAAACAGG
This 253-nucleotide ribosomal RNA is filed under the name uncultured bacterium. RNAcentral describes it as "partial 16S ribosomal RNA". It matches the Rfam family "Bacterial small subunit ribosomal RNA", at positions 524 to 776 of the family's 1533-position model. The record is from RNAcentral.